UUGCCUUUGAUGUGAUUUUUGGAAUCGAUUGGUUAACUACUCAUCAUGCUUUUCGUAAGGAUAUUAGCUUUUUUAUUCCUAACCAACCUGUUAUGCGAAUUCAAGAAACCAAACCACUAAAGUCAAUCACCGUUAUAUCAAGCCAUAAGUAAAGAGCCCCAAUCCUUUCGUUGUUGACUUCCUUGUGUGGAAUGCACCGAAGCCAG
Molecule: long non-coding RNA, 206 nt
Filed under: Panax ginseng (ginseng)
Lineage: Eukaryota; Viridiplantae; Streptophyta; Magnoliopsida; Apiales; Araliaceae
Description: long non-coding RNA (PGIN_LNC011205)
Source: RNAcentral